RNAcentral lists this non-coding RNA (85 nucleotides) under Carboxydothermus hydrogenoformans. Its description in RNAcentral is "c-di-GMP sequence". It matches the Rfam family "c-di-GMP-I riboswitch aptamer". Rfam says of the family: GEMM was predicted in a large-scale screen for bacterial structured RNA regulatory elements. Genes associated with GEMM are involved in a diverse array of functions, including chemotaxis regulation, signal transduction, secretion and chitin. Lineage: Bacteria; Bacillati; Bacillota; Clostridia; Thermoanaerobacterales; Thermoanaerobacteraceae. The record is from RNAcentral. RNAcentral also lists the same sequence under 1 other name.
CUUUGUCAAUAGCAAACCCGGCGAAAGCCGGCGACGCAAAGCUACAGGGGCUAAAGCCGUAAGGCUAUGCCAGCCAGCUGCCGAA